GUCCAGGGGCGGGAAUCGAACCCACAACCUUCUGCUUACCGGGCAGGUGCCAUGUCCACUAGGCUACCCUGGU
Molecule: non-coding RNA, 73 nt
Organism: Cordylochernes scorpioides
Lineage: Eukaryota; Metazoa; Arthropoda; Arachnida; Pseudoscorpiones; Chernetidae
Source: the annotation of a GenBank genome assembly